CGUUCGAAUUGUAGUCUGGAG
This 21-nucleotide small nuclear RNA is filed under the name Arabidopsis thaliana (thale cress). RNAcentral describes it as "snRNA_13987". The record is from RNAcentral. Lineage: Eukaryota; Viridiplantae; Streptophyta; Magnoliopsida; Brassicales; Brassicaceae.